AGAGUUUGAUCCUGGCUCAGGAUGAACGCUAGCGGCAGGCUUAACACAUGCAAGUCGAGGGGCAGCGGGGAGGAAGCUUGCUUUCUCCGCCGGCGACCGGCGCACGGGUGAGUAACACGUAUGCAACCUGCCCCUGUCAGGGGGACAACCCGCCGAAAGGCGGGCUAAACCCGCGUACAUGCCACCGGGGCAUCCCGGAGGCAGGAAAGGCUUCGGCCGGACAGGGAUGGGCAUGCGGCGCAUUAGGCAGUAGGCGGGGUAACGGCCCACCUAACCGACGAUGCGUAGGGGUUCUGAGAGGAAGGUCCCCCACACUGGUACUGAGACACGGACCAGACUCCUACGGGAGGCAGCAGUGAGGAAUAUUGGUCAAUGGUCGGGAGACUGAACCAGCCAAGCCGCGUGAGGGAGGAAGGUACAGAGUAUCGUAAACCUCUUUUGUCAGGGAACAAAGGCGGGGACGUGUCCCCGGAUGAGUGUACCUGAAGAAAAAGCAUCGGCUAACUCCGUGCCAGCAGCCGCGGUAAUACGGAGGAUGCGAGCGUUAUCCGGAUUUAUUGGGUUUAAAGGGUGCGCAGGCGGUCUGUUAAGUCAGCGGUCAAAGCCCGGGGCUCAACCCCGGCCCGCCGUUGAAACUGGCAGUCUCGAGUUGGAGAGAAGUAUGCGGAAUGCGCGGUGUAGCGGUGAAAUGCAUAGAUAUCGCGCAGAACUCCGAUUGCGAAGGCAGCAUGCCGGCUCCACACUGACGCUGAGGCACGAAAGCGUGGGUAUCGAACAGGAUUAGAUACCCUGGUAGUCCACGCAGUAAACGAUGAAUGCUGGCUGUCCGGGGGGAUUGACCCCUGGGUGGCGAAGCGAAAGCGAUAAGCAUUCCACCUGGGGAGUACGCCGGCAGCGGUGAAACUCAAAGGAAUUGACGGGGGCCCGCACAAGCGGAGGAACAUGUGGUUUAAUUCGAUGAUACGCGAGGAACCUUACCCGGGCUCAAACGGGGAGUGACUCAGGCAGAGACGCCUGUUUCCCACGGGACACUCCCCGAGGUGCUGCAUGGUUUCGUCAGCUCGUGCCGUGAGGUGUCGGCUUAAGUGCCAUAACGAGCGCAACCCCCGCGUGCAGUUGCUAACAGAUAACGCUGAGGACUCUGCACGGACUGCCGGCGCAAGCCGCGAGGAAGGCGGGAUGACGUCAAAUCAGCACGGCCCUUACGUCCGGGGCGACACACGUGUUACAAUGGGUGGUACAGCGGGAAGCCAGGCGGCGACGCCGAGCGGAACCCGAAAUCCACUCUCAGUUCGGAUCGGAGUCUGCAACCCGACUCCGUGAAGCUGGAUUCGCUAGUAAUCGCGCAUCAGCCAUGGCGCGGUGAAUACGUUCCCGGGCCUUGCACUCACCGCCCGUCA
RNAcentral lists this ribosomal RNA (1400 nucleotides) under uncultured bacterium. RNAcentral's name for it is "16S ribosomal RNA". It matches the Rfam family "Bacterial small subunit ribosomal RNA". The record is from RNAcentral.